This 462-nucleotide ribosomal RNA is filed under the name uncultured bacterium. RNAcentral's name for it is "partial 16S ribosomal RNA". It matches the Rfam family "Bacterial small subunit ribosomal RNA", at positions 28 to 507 of the family's 1533-position model. The record is from RNAcentral.
GACGAACGCUGGCGGCGUGCUUAACACAUGCAAGUCGAGCGGAAAGGCCCUUCGGGGUACUCGAGCGGCGAACGGGUGAGUAACACGUGAGUAACCUGCCCCAGACUUUGGGAUAACCCUCGGAAACGGGGGCUAAUACCGGAUACGACACAGCUUCGCAUGGGGUCUGUGUGGAAAGUUUUUCGGUUUGGGAUGGGCUCGCGGCCUAUCAGCUUGUUGGUGGGGUGAUGGCCUACCAAGGCGACGACGGGUAGCCGGCCUGAGAGGGCGACCGGCCACACUGGGACUGAGACACGGCCCAGACUCCUACGGGAGGCAGCAGUGGGGAAUAGUGCACAAUGGGCGGAAGCCUGAUGCAGCGACGCCGCGUGAGGGAUGACGGCCUUCGGGUUGUAAACCUCUUUCAGCAGGGACGAAGCGUAAGUGACGGUACCUGCAGAAGAAGCGCCGGCCAACUACGUG